RNAcentral lists this ribosomal RNA (253 nucleotides) under uncultured bacterium. RNAcentral describes it as "partial 16S ribosomal RNA". It matches the Rfam family "Bacterial small subunit ribosomal RNA", at positions 102 to 353 of the family's 1533-position model. The record is from RNAcentral.
ACGGGUGAGUAACGCGUGGGUAACCUGCCUCAUACAGGGGGAUAACAGUUGGAAACGGCUGCUAAUACCGCAUAAGCGCACAGUACCGCAUGGUACGGUGUGAAAAACUCCGGUGGUAUGAGAUGGACCCGCGUCUGAUUAGGUAGUUGGUGGGGUAACGGCCUACCAAGCCGACGAUCAGUAGCCGACCUGAGAGGGUGACCGGCCACAUUGGGACUGAGACACGGCCCAAACUCCUACGGGAGGCAGCAUG